This is a long non-coding RNA of Oncorhynchus tshawytscha (Chinook salmon), 401 nucleotides long. The record is from Ensembl. NCBI's taxonomy places the organism in Eukaryota, Metazoa, Chordata, Actinopteri, Salmoniformes, Salmonidae.
CCACAGGAUUGUCAUCAUGGAAGGGGAGGCAGGUAGCCUAGUGGUUAGAGGGGGGCGGCAGGUAGCCUAGUGGUUAGAGGGGGGAGGCAGGUAGCCUAGUGGUUAGAGGGGGCGGCAGGUAGCCUAGUGGUUAGAGGGGGCGGCAGGUAGCCUAGUGGUUAGAGGGGGCGGCAGGUAGCCUAGUGGUUAGAGGGGGCGGCAGGUAGCCUAGUGGUUAGAGGGGGGGGGCGGCAGGUAGCCUAGUGGUUAGAGGGGGCGGCAGGUAGCCUAGUGGUUAGAGGGGGAGGCAGGUAGCCUAGUGGUUAGAGGGGGCGGAAGGUAGCCUAGUGGUUAGAGGGGGCGGCAGGUAGCCUAGUGGUUAGAGGGGCGGCAGGUAGCCUAGUGGUUAGAGGGGGAGGCAG